This 445-nucleotide ribosomal RNA is filed under the name uncultured bacterium. Its description in RNAcentral is "partial 16S ribosomal RNA". It matches the Rfam family "Bacterial small subunit ribosomal RNA", at positions 338 to 795 of the family's 1533-position model. The record is from RNAcentral.
CCUACGGGAGGCAGCAGUCGAGAAUCAUUCACAAUGGGGGAAACCCUGAUGGUGCGACGCCGCGUGGGGGAAUGAAGGUCUUCGGAUUGUAAACCCCUGUCAUGUGGGAGCAAAUUAAAAAGAUAGUACCACAAGAGGAAGAGACGGCUAACUCUGUGCCAGCAGCCGCGGUAAUACAGAGGUCUCAAGCGUUGUUCGGAAUCACUGGGCGUAAAGCGUGCGUAGGCUGUUUCGUAAGUCGUGUGUGAAAGGCGCGGGCUCAACCCGCGGACGGCAUAUGAUACUGCGAGACUAGAGUAAGGGAGGGGGAACCGGAAUUCUCGGUGUAGCAGUGAAAUGCGUAGAUAUCGAGAGGAACACUCGGGGCGAAGGCGGGUUCCUGGACAUUAACUGACGCUGAGGCACGAAGGCCAGGGAGCGAAAGGGAUUAGAUACCCGAGUAGUC